This 249-nucleotide ribosomal RNA is filed under the name Triticum aestivum (bread wheat). Its description in RNAcentral is "partial small subunit ribosomal RNA". The record is from RNAcentral. Lineage: Eukaryota; Viridiplantae; Streptophyta; Magnoliopsida; Poales; Poaceae.
AUGAAUUGCUUGGCCUGGAACUGUCGAGGACUGGGUUUGGACUCGACAGGAGGCGAACUUCGGGACCUCAUAUGGUCACACAACCCAGCGGUGGUUUUUCUGUCGGAAACAAAAAAGAGUGCAAAGGCAAUGGAGAGGAUGAAGUGGAGACUUGGUUUCAGAAGCGGUGUGGCUGUGGAUUGCAAUGGGAAAAGUGGAGGUCUUGCACUAUGGUGGAGAGAGCACAUACAGGUUACUGUUAGGCCAUAG